RNAcentral lists this long non-coding RNA (1229 nucleotides) under Chrysolophus pictus (golden pheasant). Its description in RNAcentral is "lncRNA (ENSCPIG00010000870.1)". Lineage: Eukaryota; Metazoa; Chordata; Aves; Galliformes; Phasianidae. The record is from RNAcentral.
CAAAAGGAGCUGAGCCUAUUUGUGUUGUCCCCACACCAAGUCAGCUUCUGACAGCUGCCAGACUCCUCCAUGAGAAUAAACAGCAUGCUCCCGAAGCCAGUGCUUUGCCUGCGCAGUUUCAGCAGUGGCUACUCGCACUAAAACCCAACGUUUUGUAAAGAUUAUAGCUCUGUACUGCAAGAGCUGGAGAAGCACUGGGCGCUGCAGGCGGCCUCAGUCAGCUGCGUGGAAAACCCAAGCGCUCAGACACACGUCAGGUAUGCAGUGCGUUGAGAAAACGCUGCAGUUUGACACGCUUGACCUCAUAGCUGAGAUUUUUUUAGGUAAUUGUGUUUAACAAUGAAAACGUGACAUUAUUCUUGGGGCGCGGCUUUGAAGGAAUGCUUGCACAAGUGCUGACAGCGCUGUGGCAGGUACAAAAGCUGACUCAGACCUUAAAAGCUCAGAUUCAUAACACUUCUGCACGUCCCGACUCAUCUGACAGUUGGUUUUGUGCACUUGUGACAACAGCUCGUGGAAGCUCUCCAGAGACCUGACUCCAGGUGCAGCAGCACAACGCCAAUCACUGGGCACACAGACCAGGAGGAUUUCCACUCCCUCCCAGUUGCUCCAUUCAUCUGCAGACACUGCAUCAUUUCUCAGAUGCUAUUUAGAGUACAACCACACAAACAAUUCUGUCAGCACAACUGGAGGUGCAGGAGCUCCUCAAGGCCCAGAACGUGCCUGCUCUGUUCCAGAGGACAGAAGAUUGGGUUUUUCUUCACCCACCUGCACCCAGGAAGAAGUCGUCCUGCAGAACCACGCUGAGAUAAUAUAAUAAACAGAAAACAGUUUACGUGACACACACCUGAAAAGCAACCAAAACAAUCUCAAGCUGUGUAUAGGAAUACGGGAGACAGAAUAGUGGAACAAGUUCUGAACCACAACAUUUGUUGUGGAAGACAAAAGACAAAAAAGGCUCCACAAAGAGCCCACGUUCUGCUUUUUUUCCCCAAAAACAAAAUCAUUCUCCUGAGCCCAAGCCUUCCAACACUUAUAGCAACAGGGGAGAUGUGAUGAAAAGCCAUUCUUGCUACGUAACCACUCUUUUCUAAAGACAGUUCCAGAAGUGUUUUGACCCAUUUUCAAAACUUGUGAAGGAAUCAAAGAACAUCCUGAAGGGUCUAAGUAGAACUUCAGCAUUCCAGCAUAUCCUCCAAUAAAAUAACAAUUCCAAAAUCCGUUAUCCA